GGUAUUCUCGUUUGUUCACAAGUUUUUCCAAACUCAUACUUUUAUAUAUUUUAUAAAUAGAUUAUAGAUUUUAGAUAUAUCUGUAAAAUUAAUUAAAUGAUGAUUAAUUUAAAAUAAUAUCUAAUAUUAAUUAAUUAAUAUACUCUUGUGUAUAGGUAAAAUUCCAUUGUUAAGAGUCUGCUACCCUAGCACGUCUCUGUCUGCCUCUCUGGCAAGUUUAGGUUCUCAAAAGUUUUUAUUGGCCUGACGGCUUACAUCUCCAGUGUUUUGAAUAAUUCUCUUCGUUUGGUUUUCUCGUGUUACGCCCAUGGAAUCAAAUUUUGUUGGUCUAUCCCUUGAAGAUGAAGAAGAAGAAAUCCUGCAAGCACAAGGAGAUACAGAUUCGGUAAGUGAAGAAGAAGUUCUAAGUCUGGUUGGAUGUUUUCUUACAGCCAGUAUUAUCCAUUAUCCAGCAAUGAAAAGUACAAUGGCUAAUCUAUGGCAUCCGGUUAAGGGUGUUCAAAUUAGAGAUCUGGGGGAAAAGAGGUAUAUAUUUAAAUUUUUUCAUAUUGUGGAUAUGGAAAGAGUUAUAAAAGGGUCCCCUUGGACAUUUAAUAAUCAUCUAUUGGUUCUGCACAAGUUGCAAUGGGGAGAGGAUCCGCUAAAAGUUCCACUAAUUUCGUCACCUUUCUGGGUACAAAUCCAUGAUGUACCCUUUGGCUUUUAUUCUGAAAAUCUGGCCAGACAAUUAGGGAACUUCAUUGGAAUUUUUCAAGAGUAUGAUAGCUCUAGUUUGGGGAAAGAAAAUAUGAAUUUUAUGCGGAUCAGAGUUCAAAUUGAUAUUCGUCGUCAUCUCAAAAGGAAAAAACAAGUUAUGUUUAAGAAUAUAUGCUCUUAUGUUAGAUUUAAGUAUGAGAGAUUAACUCUCUUUUGCUUCUAAUGUGGCCAUCUAUGUCAUAAUGAAUCCUUUUGUGAAGCAAAGAUGGAGGCUGGGGUUGAAAUUGAUGAGAUGAGUUGGGAUCUGUCUUUGCGUGCACAGUCAAGAAGAGCCCAAGCAAUGAGUAGUGCCUGGUUAAGGGAGGAGGGAGAAUCUGUAGACAGAAAUAACUGAGAUGAAUUCAGGGGAAAUAUAGAGGGGAGGAAGGUAAGACAAUUUGAGAGUAUUCCUGAUCCUAUGUUAGGUUUUAACCUGGAAGGUAAUGGGAUCUCCCUUGGUAGAGAGAGAACAAGAAAGUUAAUUGAUAAUAAUCAAGUGGCGAUGGAGCAUGAUUUGGAGAAUGAGGUGGUUGUACGAGAGGAGGGGAAAAAGAGAAUAAGAGGGGAUAUUGAAGAAAGUAAUGAGAUGGGAGGGAGAAACGAGAGAAAGACGAAAGUCAACCAUUUGAUAUCGACGGCUGCCAAGAGGCAAGCCGACCGGUUGCAAUGAAAAUCUUAAGUUGGAACGUUUGAGGUUUGGGGAAUCUUCGGACAGUUCGACGACUUCGGCAUUCGCUGAAGCAACAGUAUCCUCAAAUGAUCUUCUUAAUGGAGACAAAAUUAAACAAAAAUAGGAUGGAAAAAAUACGAAGAAGCUGUGGGUUCCAGUGUGGAAUUGAUGUGGACUCGAUUGGUUCUAGAGGGGGGUUAAGUCUAGCAUGGAGAGAAGGUGUUAACAUUAAGCUCCAAAAUUUUUCAAAUCGACAUAUUGAUGUGGUUAUCGGAGACAGAGAAGAUAAUAGAAUAUGGAGCUUUACAGGUUUAUAUGGUUCUCCUUACUCACAUGACAGAGAUGAAGCAUGGAAUCUGUUGAGAUGAUUAUGGAAUUAUAGAGAAUACCCAUGGAUGGUUUAUUGAGAUUUUAACGAAAUCUUAUAUGGUUUCGAGAAAAAAAGGUGGAUUACCAAGGGAGGAAAAAAGAAUGGAAGCUUUUCAUCAAGCUUUAGAAGAUUACAACCUGGUUGAUUUGGGAUAUUCAGGUAGGUGGUUCACGUGGGAGAAAGGGAAUUUAUUUGAAACAAAUAUCCAGGAAAGACUUGAUAAAUGAGUUACAACGGAGCAAUGGAGCGCUUUAUUCCCAAAUGCUAUGAUUCGACACCUCCCACAUUUAUUCUCUGACCAUUGUCCACUUUUUUUGGAUACAGUUUGCAGAACUGAAAGGUUGGCAAAAAGAAAUUUCAAGUUUCAAGUGUGGUGGGUAUUGGAAGAAACAUUUUUGAGUGAAACUAAACAAAUUUUGGAAAACUCUACAGGAGAUUUUGUAAACAAGCUAAAAAACCUGAAAAGAGGUUUGGAGAGGUGGGGAGCUAAGAUUCAGCAGAAUAGAAAGAUGAAAACAAAGGUUUUGACUUCAAAACUGGCAACAUUACUUGAAUCUGAUAGAAGUGAUGAGAAUCUGAUAGAGAUUAUUAAUACAAAAAUCCACCUGAAUUUUGAGAUCGAAAAGGAGGAAAGUUAUUGGGAGCAGAAGGCCCGAAUUAAUUGGUUGAAACUUGGUGAUAGAAAUACAGCUUUUUUUCACAAGCAAGCGUCACAAAGGAGAAAACAAAAUCAAAUCCAUAGGUUGCAGCUCGAAGACAGAAGGGAGACAGAGGAGUGUAUGGAAAUGGAGGAAACCGCUAGAAUAUAUUUUCAAAAAUUAUUUACAUCAGAAGGAAAAAGAAAUUUUAAGAGGAUUCUGACAGGAAUUGAAAGAUGUAUUUUAGAGGAAGACAAUAAUAUUUUAAAGGCAAGAUACAUGAAGGAGGAGAUACUGGAAGCUCUUUCAGAAAUGGGUCCUUCAAAAGCUCCAAAAGAGGAUGGUUUUCCAGCCUUAUUUAGCAGAAGUGUUGGUCAAUUAUGGGAGAGAAUGUAUCUAAAUUUUGUCUCCAGAGGUUAAACGAAGGUAUGGAUUUACAUUCAAUUAAUAGGACAAACAUUGUGCUUAUCCCAAAAAUCUCUAAUCCCUCAAGGAUUACUCAAUUUAGACCAAUUAGCUUAUGUAAUGUGAUCUGCAAACUGAUAGCUAAAGUCAUUGCUAGAAGACUCCGGGGGGUGAUCCAUAAAUAUAUUGAUUUAGCAUAAAGUGCUUUUGUUCCAGGGAGACUGAUUUUCGAUAAUUUUCUUCUUGCUUAUGAAAUUCUACAUACUCUAAAACUCAAGAGGGUGGGGAAAAAAGGUUUCAUGGCUGUCAAACUGGACAUGAGUAAGGCAUAUGACAGGGUUGAAUAGGGUUUUGUGAAAGGGGUAAUGAAAAAUAUGGGUUUUGAUCCAUGAUGGGUGGAUUCAAUUUUAAAUUGUGUAUCAUCGGUCUCAUAUGAGGUGAUCGUCAAUAGAAACAUAGGGCAAAAGAUUAUUCCAUCAAGAGGCCUACGACAAGGAGAUCCUCUAAGUCCAUUCUUAUUUCUUUCUUGUGCAGAAGGAUUAUCGAGUCUAAUGAGGCUUGCAAAAGAAGAGAAUAUUCUUAAAGGAGUUAAAGUAAGCCGAAGAGGACCAGCUAUCUCCCAUUUACUCUUUGCAGAUGAUUGUAUUUUAUUUGCAGAAGCUACAGAAAGGGGUGCACAAUCUUUAAAAUGGAUACUACAGGAAUAUGAAUUGAACUCAGGGCAAUGUGUGAAUUAUGAAAAAUCGGUUGUCUUUUUUAGUUCAAAUACAGAAGAGGGGGUAAGGGGUGACGUAUCAACGAUUCUUCGAGUCAGAAGAGCAAUUGAUAUAGAACGAUAUCUAGGGCUGCCUAGUAUGGUAGAGAAGAGAAAGAAAUCAUCUUUUCAAAGUUUGAAGGACAGACUCAAACAAAGAAUUGAUAACUGGAGUACUAGGUUUCUCUCCCAAGGGGGAAAGGAAGUUUUUAUUAAAGCGGUCCUACAAGCUAUUCCAACUUAUUCGAUGUCUUGUUUUCUUCUCCCUAAGACCCUUUGCACAGAAUUGGAAAGAAUAGUUGCUAAUUUCUGGUGGCGGAAGAGAGGGGCUAAAAAAAGUAUUCAUUGGUGCACAUGAGAGAAUCCAUGCUUAUUAAAAGAGGAAGGUGGCCUUGGUUUCCAGAAUUUUACGAAAUUUAAUAUUGUACUAUUAGCGAAACAAGGUUGACGUCUUGUUAAUUACCCAAAAUUAUUAUUAGCUUGUGUUUUGAAAGUAAAGUAUUAUCCCAAUUCAGAUUUCUACAAAGCUAGGUUGGGAAAUUUACCUUCGCUUACCUGGAAAAGUGUUUGGACGGCUAAGGGUCUGCUCGAAAAAGGUCUUUGCUGGAGGGUGGGAAAAGGUAAUAAAAUUUCAAUACGAGAUGAUCUAUGGAUACCAGAAAACGAAAUGGUCAGAGUACCGAGGCAAGAAGUUAUUGGAAAUCUUGAAUUAGUUUCGGACUUAAUUAACCCAAGUAGCAGAAUGUGGAGAACAAAGGUAGUGCGAGAUACCUUCCAACCGGUUGUAGUAGAAAAAAUUUUGAAGAUCCCACUAGCGGAGAUGGAACAUGAAGACUUUCAAGUUUGGAGAGGGGAGCCGACCGGGGAGUUUUCAAUUAGGAGCGCCUAUAAACUAUUACAUGAAUCUACAUUGGAUCCUAAUGAUUUAAUAUUACAUACCGAAACUAUAAAUUUCUAUAGAAAGCUAUGGAAACUACAUAUCCCAUCGAAGAUCAAAAUGAUAAUAUGGAGGAUUUCAUGGAAUUUUAUCCCAUCCUUUUUCAACCUCAAAAUAAAAUAGGUAGUGGUGAAUACUCGAUGUCCAAGAUGCGAUAGUGAAGAAGAAAACAGCUGCCAUAUCUUUCAACAGUGCC
Molecule: long non-coding RNA, 4705 nt
Filed under: Gossypium raimondii (Peruvian cotton)
Lineage: Eukaryota; Viridiplantae; Streptophyta; Magnoliopsida; Malvales; Malvaceae
Description: long non-coding RNA (GRAI_LNC002636)
Source: RNAcentral